This is a long non-coding RNA of Choloepus didactylus (southern two-toed sloth), 1711 nucleotides long. RefSeq lists it as uncharacterized. NCBI's taxonomy places the organism in Eukaryota, Metazoa, Chordata, Mammalia, Pilosa, Megalonychidae. The record is from RefSeq and is a predicted model, not a curated record. The transcript is spliced from 3 exons.
GGGAACCCCUGAGAAGCCACAGACCAUCCCGGCUCCAGCCCGCAGCAGCCUCAGACCCAAACACCCUGAGUGGGGCUGAGCCCUCUCCACGUCCCGCCGGCCUCCCUGCCCCCUCUCUUGGCUGCCAGUCCACGGAAGCAUUUGACUUUCUAAUUCUCCCCUCCUUGCAACAAAAAGCUAAAUGUUCCCCAGGCACUUGGCCUGCUUCCUGUACCCAAGAGAGGAGAGCCAUGGCCAGAGAAGGAGGGCAGCGAGAAGCCAGGGCUAGCAGGAUCUCAGAGCAGCUGUCUUGUACACCUUCGGGCCUUCUACUCGAGCACCGAUAUCCUCCAUCUUCCUGCUCAUACAUGGCAAGAGACAUUAAAUGUCCUUCUUGCUCAGUGUCACAGUUUGGGUCCUUAACUGCUUUGCAAGGAUCCUGGUACGAGAUGCACAGCUGCUGGUUUAGCCCCUAUUGCCCUAAGUAUCAAAGGAAAUGUUAAAAGCUGAGAAGAUCAACGCCAAAGCUGAAGAGGUCCAUAGGAAGGCUGUGGAACGAGCUCCAGAAUGUCCAGUCUCUCCACCACCACUCUGCAGUAUGGCAGGCAAAAGGAGCCAACACGCAGGGGACACUGCUCCCCAGAUGGAAAUCUCUUGCAACAAGUCAUUCCACACCCCUCCAGGGCCGCCCUGUGACAACGCCUUGUGCAAACAACACUCCAGUGGCUGUUUCUACACUGGGAUGAUAGUGGUUGGGGGUUGGGGAUUGGGGUUUUGGGCCACACACACCCCCAAAAACAACUAGACAAAACGGCUUCUUUUUAUUCAAAUCGUGCUUUGUGAAAAUUCUCCCCAGCUGUUCCCAGCACAUUCGUGGAAGCUACAAUAUGCAGAUAUUUUUGUCUGCUUGAUUCACUGAUAGAUCCCCAGGAACCAGAACAGUCCUGGCUCCGAGCAGGUGCUCCAUGAAUUCUCGAAGCCGCAGUUUCCUCAUCUGCAAAAGGCAGCUGGCAUGUGAAGUCCGGGGCACCCUGCGGGACGUUCAGAAGGGUGACGCACGUGAUCAAGUUUUCUUCAGAGACACUUCAAGGAAGGUUUUUCUACACCCAAACCCACAGAGGCUCAUUUUUUCUAUCCUAUUCAUGACCUCCGGUUGCCCAGUGGUUAGGUCCAGGAACCUUGGUUACCUCCUUCUAGACAAGGAGACACUGGGCAAGUUGUAUUCUGGAACGUAAAACCUUAGCCGCAAGGAAGAACCUAGAAGUUCCUCUGUGAUGUGGUAAGGCUGAAACUCAACAGAUUUCUGCCAGAGUGUAAGGAGCCUCCCCUGCCAACUCUUUAAAAUGCAAAGAUGCAAAGGGCCAGGAUGUCAGGAGACAGGAUGCUCCGAGCUGGACCGGCCUUUGCAUAAAGCAAAGUUGAGAGUGCCAUGCUCUCUCUCACCUCCGGGCCCCUGCCCCAGUGGUCCCCUUUGUCUGGUUAACUCUCCCUAACCACCCCUACUACCCCCAUCCCUGGUGUCUGAUAUUUGAAUACAACCUGCACACGCACACACACACACACACACACACACACACACACACACAGACACACUUCAUUACAGCUUAUGAUACUUCCCUAAUUCCAUACUAGACUUGAGCUCCAUGAAUACAGGGACCAUGACCUGUUCACUAUUAUAUCCCCUACUCCAAGCAUACUGCCUGGCACAGAGCGGAGAACCAGAAAAGUUUUG